RNAcentral lists this ribosomal RNA (301 nucleotides) under uncultured bacterium. Its description in RNAcentral is "partial 16S ribosomal RNA". It matches the Rfam family "Bacterial small subunit ribosomal RNA", at positions 509 to 809 of the family's 1533-position model. The record is from RNAcentral.
CAGUCGCCGCGGUAAUACGGAAGGUCCAGGCGUUAUCCGGAUUUAUUGGGUUUAAAGGGAGCGUAGGCUGGAGAUUAAGUGUGUUGUGAAAUGCAGACGCUCAACGUCUGACUUGCAGCGCAUACUGGUUUCCUUGAGUACGCACAACGUUGGCGGAAUUCGUCGUGUAGCGGUGAAAUGCUUAGAUAUGACGAAGAACUCCGAUUGCGAAGGCAGCUGACGGGAGCGCAACUGACGCUUAAGCUCGAAGGUGCGGGUAUCAAACAGGAUUAGAUACCCCAGUAGUCCCUGUCUCUUAUAA